AGACUACCUCAAAGAUGGUGUAAUUUACAAGCGGGCUUAGGUGAUGCUCAGGAUGUAAAUGACGAUGGACGCCACUUAUCCCACAUACGCCAUCCACUUAAAAGAGGCUAAAUGGCGUAUAUAGAUGCCCAUUUAAAUUAAGUGAAUCACAUGAACAGACCAUCAGAGCCCACAUACGCCGGUGGCAGCCAAAACGAAAUCCUCUAACCCUUAACCCUUGCUCUGAAGUUCUGACGGCGCGGAGAGAUCCAGAAGAUAGAAGUCGUUGUAGCAGGGGAGCUGGUCCGGCGCAGCUGAGGAGGCGGGUGACGCCGUCGGGGUGCCCCGCCUUGCGCAUGAUGUGGAAGUAUUUGCCACACUCCAUCGAGAAGAGCGUGUGCAGUCGUCGCCCCUCCCCGGCGGCAUACACCACAGCCAGCCACAGCAAUAACAAGAGGAGGAGCGUGACCACCGUCAUUGCUAGUGGUGUGGCGGAUCUCGUGCCCGGAUCCUACCUUCGGUUUCUCGUUGCUUUGUAUCCAACCCUAUGAUCCUGAAGGAGCAGAGUGUUCAGGGGGCGAGCAGAGUGUUCAGGCGGCCAACAGAACCCCUCGAGGAGGCGGGAUUGAGAAUAGAUUUCCAGUGUUUAUGUAUGUGUUGGCAAGGUCGAAGAUCUGGUUGCAUCGGCUAGCUGUACGCCGGCGAGCUGCUUAGUACCACAACCCCUUCGUUUGCUCCUGCAAGCUUCCGCAACCAUUCUCUUUGGGUUGAUUCUGCAUCAAGUGGUCAUAUGUGGACGCCACAAUACCCACAUAAAGAUUAAGUAGACUUUAACAUAAUCCCGUAUAAACACUAAUGGUUGAUACGGGCAAGUCCCAUAUUGUCCAGCUAACUGUCCACUUACAUCCAGAGGUGAUGCCUCUUCCAAAUGCGUCCUAACUUUUAUCACACCUUGCAGGAGCCAUAUGAUGAAGUCGUGCGAGCUCUCAAAAAUUUCCGGCAUCGUACGAUUUCUCGAGGAUUCAAACGCUUGCCUUAGGCAUAUUGUCGAGAUUGAAGAUUGACGAAUUCAAAAAAGUAGGAAUCUUCAACGUUGGGUUCAUUAGCCAGAUGCCGUAAAUGAAUGGACGUGCAUGUACUAGAAAGAAGAGACUGUUUUAUGUGCAUACUACGUAUGCGAGUUCAUUCGCCUCUCGACCUCUGAGCGGGGCUUCUCCGAGAAACAAUUGAAAAUCGGACACAUGUGGGAUGAACUCCUACCACAUGAUCACA
Molecule: long non-coding RNA, 1251 nt
Organism: Hordeum vulgare subsp. vulgare (domesticated barley)
Lineage: Eukaryota; Viridiplantae; Streptophyta; Magnoliopsida; Poales; Poaceae
Exons: 4
Source: RefSeq, a predicted model, not a curated record